Molecule: non-coding RNA, 83 nt
Filed under: Yersinia massiliensis
Lineage: Bacteria; Pseudomonadati; Pseudomonadota; Gammaproteobacteria; Enterobacterales; Yersiniaceae
Source: RNAcentral
CAAUGGUGAACUGGGUGGGGGCAUCGCAAGGUGCGCCGGGUUCUCUGUUGACCGGUCUGUCAACCCUGCCCAGUUCACCACCU